AUCCAGAUGACGAGUCCCAAAUAGGACGAAACGCGUGUCCUGAAU
Molecule: non-coding RNA, 45 nt
Organism: Schistosoma haematobium
Lineage: Eukaryota; Metazoa; Platyhelminthes; Trematoda; Strigeidida; Schistosomatidae
Source: Rfam